CAGCAGGUAAAGUCCAGGAUGGCUGCCCCAGAACCCCAGAAAGAGCUGCCAAGGGAGGCUUCUCUUAGGUUAACAGGAAAUUGUAAUGACAUUUACAAAGGCUGGGUUGUCCCUGCAAAGAUAAUCCAUUGAUACAUAAUAUCUGUUAAAAGCUGCUCAAAAAUUUUCACUUCAAACAUAGAUUUUUUUUUUUUUUUUUGUCAAUUCAAGCGAGGUAUCAUUUACUUUGUUUUGAUAAAAGGCCUCCUAGCUUCUACUAAUUGAGGACAUGGCAGUGUAGCUGGUGGAAGAACAUCUCCUUGUAAGUGUCAGAUACAAAGAGGACUCAGCAUCCAAACAUCCAAAAGGCAAAUCCUUAGAUAAUUCUAGCAGUAGACGAUGCACGCACAAACAUUUCAUCCUUUGAAGCAAUUUCAUUAGGGCAAGCUAGCCUUGACAACAUUAACUGGAUCACAUUGUUUUCACAGUGAGUAUGUGGUACUGGGUUGAGGAUGAACUUGCUUUCAAAUCUGAUUAAUGAUUUUGUGAGGUCAGGCAGGGGUUCCCUUCCUUCAUUGUCAUUUCACCUCUGCGCAGAGAGCUGGCCCUGUGCCAUCGCUUGCGACCUCUUCUUUGGUGCUUCUGCUAAUCUGCAAGCAGGGCCCCCGCCAAUGGAAUGUUUUCAGGUCAACUCAUGUAACAGGUGAGUUUAGUAUAAUGAUUAUAGACCUUUCUCAGUAAUAUGUUCACUUAUUGAAUUAGAAUUUGUCUGUCUCAUUUUGCCUUCUAUUUAGGUAAGAGACAAUAAAUGGAACUCAAGUUUUUUAUUACCAUGCAAAUGGUAGAAUUAAGGACCUACAGAAGGCUCUACAGUCCGACUUAGGGCAGCUGAAACCUCAUGACCGCUACUUUCUCUGUCCAGUAGCCAAGUUGUAUAUUGAAAAAAAUAGAUUCUUUCUUGCUUGCUUGCUUGCUUGCUUGCUUGCUUGCUUGCUUUUGAUGGCCACAACUGCAGCAUAAGGAGGUUCCCAGGGUAAGGGUCAAAUCAGAGCCAUAGUCGCUAGCCUACAGCCACAGCAAUGUGGGAUCCAAGCCACGUCUGUGACCUACACCACAGCGCACAGCAACGCCAGAUUCUUAACCCACUGAGCAAGGCCAAGGAUCGAACCCACAUCCUCAUGGUUCCUAGUCAGGUUCGUUAACCACUGAGCCACGAAGGGAACUCCUAGAUGUUAUAUUUCUAUCUGAGCACAUUUUAGAAAUUAUUCCCCUCCCCCGUUUUGAUUUUUUUUUUAACUCUGGCAAGUUUAGAGAAAAAAAAAUGUGAAAUUUUUGAUAAAUUCUGAGCAAAGGAAAACAUGAUAAAUUAAAUGUAUAAAUACCAUAACUUUAGCAAUUUCAAAUCAUUGUAAAUGACCUAAAAGUAAAUUUAAUACACAGUAUAAAAUAAGUAACCCAUUGUCUAACAGAAAAAAUAGUGAUUUAAUUAAACAAUAUUAUGAAAAGCAACUCUAUUGAAAAUCUAAUGUUGUAUCUUAUGAUAGAACAAAAUGCAUGUUCCUUUUGGACCUAAAGUUUCUCUAUGAAAAGUAGCGUCACUUGCUUAAAGCCUCAUAGUCUACCUGGAUGAGAUAAUAUGACCCAUUGAAGGUCAAUUUUCUGUAACAACCCUGCUGCCAAAAACUGAAAUGACAGCUGUUUGCACAGAAUGUAGUUAAGGAGCAAAGACGGAAGAAACUUAUUUUGAAUAAAAUACAAAACUAUCCUUGAACUAAGUAAGUAGGAGUACUGGCAACUGUUAGUCUUGUGAAAGAUAAGAUUAUGUCAGAAUUUAUUUUUCAAUUGUCUUCAGUUUUCCAAAAGAGAGCCUGCUGCAUGGAGGGGUUUGUCGAAGUCUACACAUUACAACUUAAGUGUGCCAAAAAAGCUACUUUCUUUGCCUCCCAGAACUGAUUGCACUUGGCCCUGGAGCCGUAUGCUCACUGAUGGGGUUGGAGGUUGGAGAGGCACUUAAAUAUGUCCCUUCAAGGUCAUUGAGCUCUUUCUAUUGAAACAGACACGCACUCUUGCUUUUUCUUUGUUUUCUGGGGUUUUUUAAAAUGGUAUAUUUAAUGUCAUUUUUGUACCUCUUAGUUUUGUAACUGCUCUGUCCUUCAGCAUUUCAUCUCAAAGCACUCGCCUUCAUCCUCAAGUGCUUAGCUUUCUGAUACCGUCUUUGCUGAGUCCCUGCUGAGGUCUUGCUACCUCUUCUUCAACAACAAGUGCUUAUCCUCGCUCCUUCCUCUACCCAAGAAACACACAAACCGUUCUCUUAGCACAGGCAGCACUCAUCGGAGGCUCCGAGGGAAGUUCUGCAGUCCUUCUCUACUGACCAGGGUCCCAUAAUGAAGUUUGACUGAGGUUCUCACCGACAGAAAACCAGCCAUGCAUCUCUUGGGAUGUGAACCCCUCCUGAUGCUUCUGCUGCAUGGCACUAGCUCCUCACCAGUGCCCAUCUCUGGAGGGCAGACUACUCUUAGUUCUAAGCUGCUGUGCUCUGCCUCUCAGAGACUGGUGGAAAUAUCUACAUUUAUUCCAUUACCUACACGGCCACUGGCCCUUGAAGUGGAAAUGGGAGCUUCUGUCCCCGGACCCAUCAUGGCUCAAUCGCAGGAUCUCCAUUUGUAAUUUACUGCAGCCACUCUAAUAGAUGACUUCUUUUUUUCUUUUUCAUUUUUUUCAUAAGGCAGUAAGAGUGACAAGCAACCCCAUCCUACCCCCAGCUGCAGAGUUUCAAGGAAGUAUAAGCAGAAAGUAAGUAGGAAAUUCACUGAUCGCUUUUCUUUACACUUUUCAUCCUUUCAGCAAUGAGAUGAAAUAUAUAUAUAUAUAUAUUUGCUGAAAGGUCAGAUCUGUUUCUUUUUAUCUCUACCAAGUGUGCAAAGUGACCUCUUGGUAUUAUCUUUGUUCAGUGUUUGGAAUUUCAGUUUACAUGUAUCACUGUCAAUCUAUUUACUAAUGUUAUUUCAUGAAAUUAUUCAUUGCCGUUCCUUUCAGUUAUUUGGAUUUGGUUCACUGGCGACGCAUAAAUCAAAAUGUACACACUCUGAUUCCUUGGGAUUCCUCAUGAGUGGCUGAACCUGUGAUUGUCAUUAUCCAUUGUAGUUAAGAUUCUUUUAUAAAUUGUGUUUCUUCUUUCUAACAUCCUAAAAUCAGUUCUAUGUUAUCUUAGGAAUGGCUCCAUUGGCAAAUUGCAGUGUAGUAAAUCUCUUUUCUGACUCUUCCUGAUUGGGGAGCUCUUUGCUCUGGGCCAGUGUGGUGAUGGGCGAAGGACUUGAAUCCAGGCAGCUAUCACACUGGUUUGAAAUUAAGAUUGUAUCCAAGGUGAGAGCAUUUUUUGUUUUUGGGUAACUAAUAUGGAGCAAUUAUAUAUGAUGUGUAACAUCGUAACAUGUACCCUUGCCCUGUAUUUUGCUAAUCAAUGUAACCUUUACUUUUAAAAAGCAGAUUUGUUGGUACUCAGAUAUCUCUUUGUUGUACAGUCAUUCCACUUAUUUACAGCAUGUUUAAAUUAAAGGUAAAGCAUUAUAUCCAAGAGAAAGACAAAGUUUUGUAAAGAG
This 3578-nucleotide long non-coding RNA is filed under the name Sus scrofa (pig). RNAcentral's name for it is "lncRNA (ENSSSCG00000057147.1)". The record is from RNAcentral. Lineage: Eukaryota; Metazoa; Chordata; Mammalia; Artiodactyla; Suidae.